This 275-nucleotide long non-coding RNA is filed under the name Homo sapiens (human). RNAcentral's name for it is "HSALNT0407563". Lineage: Eukaryota; Metazoa; Chordata; Mammalia; Primates; Hominidae. The record is from RNAcentral.
UGACUUUUUAAUGAUUGCCAUUCUAACUGGCAAUCUUGGUUUUACAGCUGUUACAUUGCUGUGUAUUUAUCCAGUUCACCUUUAAGUUCAAUUAUAAUCCUAAACAUUUUCUCAUAUCUCAUGCAGGUUUUAUUAGAAUAUGACAUAUUCAUGUGUUCAGAAUUUUCAUGACCUUCAUUAAAGUUUUUCAUUUUCUUUUGUUUAACAAUGGAACCAUUUUUCCUAAGUUUAUUUCUAGAUAUAUUAUUAUUUAUAAUUACUGUUUAGAAUGCACU